Molecule: ribosomal RNA, 751 nt
Filed under: uncultured soil bacterium
Lineage: Bacteria
Description: bacterial SSU rRNA
Rfam family: Bacterial small subunit ribosomal RNA
Source: RNAcentral
UGAACGCUGGCGGCAUGCUUUACACAUGCAAGUCGAACGGCAGCGCGGGGGCAACCCUGGCGGCGAGUGGCGAACGGGUGAGUAAUAUAUCGGAACGUACCCAAGAGUGGGGGAUAACGUAGCGAAAGUUACGCUAAUACCGCAUACGAUCUAAGGAUGAAAGCAGGGGACCGCAAGGCCUUGUGCUCCUGGAGCGGCCGAUAUCUGAUUAGCUAGUUGGUAGGGUAAAGGCCUACCAAGGCAUCGAUCAGUAGCUGGUCUGAGAGGACGACCAGCCACACUGGAACUGAGACACGGUCCAGACUCCUACGGGAGGCAGCAGUGGGGAGUUUUGGACAAUGGGCGCAAGCCUGAUCCAGCAAUGCCGCGUGAGUGAAGAAGGCCUUCGGGUUGUAAAGCUCUUUUGUCAGGGAAGAAACGGGUGGGGCUAAUAUCCUCAUCUAAUGACGGUACCUGAAGAAUAAGCACCGGCUAACUACGUGCCAGCAGCCGCGGUAAUACGUAGGGUGCAAGCGUUAAUCGGAAUUACUGGGCGUAAAGCGUGCGCAGGCGGUUUUGUAAGUCUGUCGUGAAAUCCCCGGGCUCACCCUGGGAAUGGCGAUGGAGACUGCAAGGCUAGAAUCUGGCAGAGGGGGGUAGAAUUCCACGUGUAGCAGUGAAAUGCGUAGAGAUGUGGAGGAACACCGAUGGCGAAGGCAGCCCCCUGGGUCAAGAUUGACGCUCAUGCACGAAGGCGUGGGGAGCAAACAGG